GCCGGCUGGCGGGGAGCCGUCAGUCCGGCGGCCGCGGGGCCCGGCGGGCGCGGCGCUGCCUCCUCACCGGCGCGGGCUAGCAGGGGACGGCCUGAGUGCCGGAGCCGAGCGGGGACUGGAGCGCGCGGUCUGACCUACAAGAACCAUGGCAACCAGCGCCGUCCCCAGUGACAACCUACCCACAUAUAAGCUGGUGGUGGUGGGGGAUGGGGGUGUGGGCAAAAGUGCCCUCACCAUCCAGUUUUUCCAGAAGAUCUUUGUACCUGACUAUGACCCCACCAUUGAAGACUCCUACCUGAAACAUACAGAGGUUGACAAUCAGUGGGCCAUCUUGGACGUUCUGGACACAGCUGGGCAGGAGGAAUUCAGUGCCAUGCGGGAGCAGUACAUGCGCACGGGGGAUGGCUUCCUCAUUGUCUACUCUGUCACCGACAAGGCCAGCUUCGAGCACGUGGACCGCUUCCACCAGCUCAUCCUGCGUGUCAAAGACAGGGAGUCAUUCCCGAUGAUCCUCGUGGCCAACAAGGUCGAUUUGAUGCACUUAAGGAAAAUCACCAGGGAGCAAGGAAAAGAAAUGGCCACCAAACACAAUAUUCCAUACAUAGAAACCAGUGCCAAGGACACACCUCUCAAUGUGACAAAGCUUUCCAUGACCUCAUUAGAGUAAUUAGGCAACAGAUUCCAGAAAAAAGCCAGAAGAAGAAGAAGAAAACCAAAUGGCAGGGAGACCGGGCUACAGGCACCCGCAAACUGCAAUGUGUGAUCUUGUGACAGGCCUGAGUGGGCACAGUGACUGUGGCCUGACCAGCCCUUCGGACCCCUCCCCGCCUAACUGCACUGAAACCAUUUCUAACCACAACCCUUGGCCUGAGGACUUGGCACAGAAAGGGAGAAAGGGAGGGUGGGCAGGGGGCAGACAGGGUCUGGCUUUGCCCAGAGGGCACGGGCUUUCCCAUCUCUCACAAGAGACAAGGGAGCCACCCAUAAGCAGAAGCAGCGUCCAAGUGUCCCUGGCCCCCCCAUGUGUUGAUUCAACCCGGUUCCUCCCCAUCUCUCUGUGGGUGUGUUGUUUAUUUUAACUAUAUAGUGUUGGUUUGAUGUGGAAGUGUUUAUCCACAUACAAA
Molecule: RNA transcript, 1124 nt
Organism: Sapajus apella (tufted capuchin)
Lineage: Eukaryota; Metazoa; Chordata; Mammalia; Primates; Cebidae
Gene name: ras-related protein M-Ras pseudogene
Exons: 1
Source: RefSeq, a predicted model, not a curated record